AGAGUUUGAUCAUGGCUCAGGACGAACGCUGGCGGCGUGCUUAACACAUGCAAGUCGAACGAUGAACCACUUCGGUGGGGAUUAGUGGCGAACGGGUGAGUAACACGUGGGCAAUCUGCCCUGCACUCUGGGACAAGCCCUGGAAACGGGGUCUAAUACCGGAUAAUACUCCCGCACUCAUGUGUGGGGGUUAAAAGCUCCGGCGGUGCAGGAUGAGCCCGCGGCCUAUCAGCUUGUUGGUGAGGUAAUGGCUCACCAAGGCGACGACGGGUAGCCGGCCUGAGAGGGCGACCGGCCACACUGGGACUGAGACACGGCCCAGACUCCUACGGGAGGCAGCAGUGGGGAAUAUUGCACAAUGGGCGAAAGCCUGAUGCAGCGACGCCGCGUGAGGGAUGACGGCCUUCGGGUUGUAAACCUCUUUCAGCAGGGAAGAAGCGCAAGUGACGGUACCUGCAGAAGAAGCGCCGGCUAACUACGUGCCAGCAGCCGCGGUAAUACGUAGGGCGCAAGCGUUGUCCGGAAUUAUUGGGCGUAAAGAGCUCGUAGGCGGCUUGUCACGUCGGGUGUGAAAGCCCGGGGCUUAACCCCGGGUCUGCAUUCGAUACGGGCUAGCUAGAGUGUGGUAGGGGAGAUCGGAAUUCCUGGUGUAGCGGUGAAAUGCGCAGAUAUCAGGAGGAACACCGGUGGCGAAGGCGGAUCUCUGGGCCAUUACUGACGCUGAGGAGCGAAAGCGUGGGGAGCGAACAGGAUUAGAUACCCUAGUAGUCC
Molecule: ribosomal RNA, 771 nt
Filed under: uncultured bacterium
Lineage: Bacteria
Description: bacterial SSU rRNA
Rfam family: Bacterial small subunit ribosomal RNA
Source: RNAcentral